Molecule: ribosomal RNA, 493 nt
Filed under: Lactobacillus delbrueckii subsp. bulgaricus
Lineage: Bacteria; Bacillati; Bacillota; Bacilli; Lactobacillales; Lactobacillaceae
Description: partial 23S ribosomal RNA
Rfam family: Bacterial large subunit ribosomal RNA
Source: RNAcentral
CAAGGCUAAAUACUAACCAGUGACCGAUAGUGAACCAGUACCGUGAGGGAAAGGUGAAAAGAACCCCGGGAGGGGAGUGAAAGAGAACCUGAAACCGUGUGCCUACAAGUAGUCAGAGCCCGUUAACGGGUAAUGGCGUGCCUUUUGUAGAAUGAACCGGCGAGUUGCGUUAGUCAGCAAGGUUAAGUCAGAAAAGACGGAGCCGUAGCGAAAGCGAGUCUGAAGAGGGCGAGCAGUUGGUUGACGCAGACCCGAAACCAAGUGACCUACCCAUGACCAGGUUGAAGGCGCGGUAAAACGCGCUGGAGGACCGAACCCACGUAAGUUGAAAAUUGCGGGGAUGAGUUGUGGGUAGCGGUGAAAUUCCAAACGAACUUGGAGAUAGCUGGUUCUCUCCGAAAUAGCUUUAGGGCUAGCCUCGCAAAGAGGAUGCUGGAGGUAGAGCUCUGUUUGGACUAGGGGCCCGUCAAGGGUUACUGAAUUCAGAUAAACU